This 151-nucleotide unclassified non-coding RNA is filed under the name uncultured fungus. Its description in RNAcentral is "sequence contains ITS1". The record is from RNAcentral. Lineage: Eukaryota; Fungi.
AAGGGAGUUUCUCGGGGGCUCGCCCCCUCCUCCCGUCCCUGAAAACGCGAGGCCCUCUGCUCUGUUACGUCGGCGGGCUUGUCCCGCCGCACAACGAGCACAAAACUCUGUUUUAACGUGUCGUCGUCUGAAGAGAGCGGAUAAUAAAUCA